CUUAGAUUUGGGUGGCGGACGGGUGAGUAACGCGUAAAGAACUUGCCUCACAGCUAGGGACAACAUUUGGAAACGAAUGCUAAUACCUGAUAUUAUGAUUUUAAGGCAUCUUAGAAUUAUGAAAGCUAUACGCGCUGUGAGAGAGCUUUGCGUCCCAUUAGCUAGUUGGAGAGGUAACGGCUCACCAAGGCGAUGAUGGGUAGCCGGCCUGAGAGGGUGAACGGCCACAAGGGGACUGAGACACGGCCCUUACUCCUACGGGAGGCAGCAGUGGGGAAUAUUGGACAAUGGACCAAGAGUCUGAUCCAGCAAUUCUGUGUGCACGAUGACGUUUUUCGGAAUGUAAAGUGCUUUCAGUUGGGAAGAAAAAAAUGACGGUACCAACAGAAGAAGUGACGGCUAAAUACGUGCCAGCAGCCGCGGUAAUACGUAUGUCACGAGCGUUAUCCGGAUUUAUUGGGCGUAAAGCGCGUCUAGGUGGUUAUGUAAGUCUGAUGUGAAAAUGCAGGGCUCAACUCUGUAUUGCGUUGGAAACUGUGUAACUAGAGUACUGGAGAGGUAAGCGGAACUACAAGUGUAGAGGUGAAAUUCGUAGAUAUUUGUAGGAAUGCCGAUGGGGAAGCCAGCUUACUGGACAGAUACUGACGCUGAAGCGCGAAGCGUGGGUAGCAAACAGGA
Molecule: ribosomal RNA, 678 nt
Filed under: uncultured Fusobacteriaceae bacterium
Lineage: Bacteria; Fusobacteriati; Fusobacteriota; Fusobacteriia; Fusobacteriales; Fusobacteriaceae
Description: bacterial SSU rRNA
Rfam family: Bacterial small subunit ribosomal RNA
Source: RNAcentral